This is a small nucleolar RNA of Arvicanthis niloticus (Nile rat), 173 nucleotides long. RefSeq annotates it as small nucleolar RNA SNORD97. NCBI's taxonomy places the organism in Eukaryota, Metazoa, Chordata, Mammalia, Rodentia, Muridae. The record is from RefSeq and is a predicted model, not a curated record.
UUGCCCGAUGAUUAUAAAAAGACGCGAAAGAGGACUUAAAGCUGGAAUUCUUUUCCUUGUAUUCUCUCCUCUGCUCUUUGUCUUUAACUUCUCUUCUACUUUUCUUUUCUCUGCUUUUUCUCUCUCUGGAUGUCCAGCGUCCUAUGAGCGAAGAUUAUGAGAUAUGAGGGCAA